GAGUGAUCAAGUGUCUUAAGGGCAUUUGGUGGAUGCCUUGGCAUGCACAGGCGAUGAAGGACGUGAUACGCUGCGAUAAGCGUCGGGGAGGUGCGAAUACCCUUUGAUCCGACGAUUUCCGAAUGGGGCAACCCACCUUAGAUGACUAGAAAAUCUGUUUUGUUGGAGCAACGCUGGAUGGGUUUACACCCAUACAGACCGCUAGGUCGUCGGCCCAUGUGGGCCGCCCCCGCGGAGCGCCAGCAUUCCUCUGGAAUGCGUACGGCGCGUGAGCGAGAACAGCACAGCUUUCUAGUCAUCAUAAAUAAGGUAUCUAACCUUGAAUACAUAGGGGUUAGAAGCGAACCUGGGGAACUGAAACAUCUAAGUACCCAGAGGAAAGGACAUCAAACGAGACUCCGCUAGUAGUGGCGAGCGAACGCGGACCAGGCCAGUGGCUUUUGUGAAUAAAGUGGAACGAGUUGGAAAACUCGACCGAAGUGGGUGAUAGUCCCGUACACGUAGAAUAGCAGAAGUCCUUGAGUAGGGCGGGACACGUGAAAUCCUGUCUGAACAUGGGUCGACCACGAUCCAAGCCUAAGUACUCGUGCAUGACCGAUAGCGAACCAGUACCGUGAGGGAAAGGUGAAAAGCACCCCGACGAGGGGAGUGAAACAGUACCUGAAACCGGAUGCCUACAAACAGUUGGAGCCCAAGGUUUGUCCUGGGUGACAGCGUACCUUUUGUAUAAUGGGUCAGCGACUUAGUGUAUCGAGCAAGCUUAAGCCGGUAGGUGUAGGCGCAGCGAAAGCGAGUCUGAACAGGGCGUUCAGUUCGAUGCAUUAGACCCGAAACCAAGUGAUCUAGCCAUGAGCAGGUUGAAGGUACGGUAACACGUACUGGAGGACCGAACCCAUAUCUGUUGCAAUAGAUCGGGAUGACUUGUGGCUAGGGGUGAAAGGCCAAUCAAACUUGGAGAUAGCUGGUUCUCCGCGAAAUCUAUUUAGGUAGAGCGUCGACCGAAUACCCCCGGGGGUAGAGCACUGGAUGGGCUAUGGGGACUCACCGUCUUACUGAUCCUAACCAAACUCCGAAUACCGGGGAGUACUAAUCGGCAGACACACGGCGGGUGCUAACGUCCGUCGUGGAGAGGGCAACAACCCUGACCACCAUCUAAGGUCCCUAAGUUAUGGCUAAGUGGGAAAGGAUGUGAGGAUCCCAAAACAACCAGGAUGUUGGCUUAGAAGCAGCCAUCAUUUAAAGAAAGCGUAACAGCUCACUGGUCUAAAUAAGGGUCUUUGCGCCGAAAAUGUACCGGGGCUCAAGCCAUACACCGAAGCUGUGGAUGCACGUAUGUGCGUGGUAGCGGAGCGUUCCGUAAGCCUGUGAAGGGACAGUCGUGAGACAUCCUGGAGGUAUCGGAAGUGAGAAUGCUGACAUGAGUAACGAUAAAGGGAGUGAGAGACUCCCUCGCCGAAAGUCCAAGGGUUCCUGCUUAAAGUUAAUCUGAGCAGGGUUAGCCGGCCCCUAAGGCGAGGCCGAAAGGCGUAGUCGAUGGGAACCACGUUAAUAUUCGUGGGCCUGCAGGUAGUGACGGAUCGCGUGUGUUGUGAGGUCUUAUUGGAUUGAUCUUGCAGCGAAGCGGUUCCAGGAAAUAGCUCCUGCAUAUAGACCGUACCCUAAACCGACACUGGUGGACUGGUAGAGAAUACCAAGGCGCUUGAGAGAACUGCGUUGAAGGAACUCGGCAAAAUGCACGCGUAACUUCGGAAGAAGCGUGACCUCACUAUGGGCAACCAUAGGGGGGUGGCACAGACCAGGGGGUAGCGACUGUUUACCAAAAACACAGGGCUCUGCGAAGUCGCAAGACGACGUAUAGGGUCUGACGCCUGCCCGGUGCUGGAAGGUUAAGAGGAGAGGUGCAAGCCUUGAAUUGAAGCCCCAGUAAACGGCGGCCGUAACUAUAACGGUCCUAAGGUAGCGAAAUUCCUUGUCGGGUAAGUUCCGACCUGCACGAAUGGCGUAACGACUUCCCCGCUGUCUCCAACGCAGACUCAGUGAAAUUGAAUUCCCCGUGAAGAUGCGGGGUUCCUGCGGUUAGACGGAAAGACCCCGUGCACCUUUACUAUAGCUUUACACUGGCAUUCGUGACGACAUGUGUAGGAUAGGUGGUAGACUUUGAAGCAGGGGCGCCAGCCUUUGUGGAGUCACCCUUGAAAUACCACCCUUGUUUUUAUGGAUGUCUAACUGCGGCCCGUUAUCCGGGUCCAGGACCGUGUAUGGUGGGUAGUUUGACUGGGGCGGUCGCCUCCUAAAGAG
RNAcentral lists this ribosomal RNA (2298 nucleotides) under Brucella canis. RNAcentral describes it as "partial 23S ribosomal RNA". It matches the Rfam family "Bacterial large subunit ribosomal RNA", at positions 1 to 2297 of the family's 2925-position model. The record is from RNAcentral. Lineage: Bacteria; Pseudomonadati; Pseudomonadota; Alphaproteobacteria; Hyphomicrobiales; Brucellaceae.